CUGUCUGUGUGUGUGUUUGUGGGUGUCUGGCUCUCUCUCCCCUGGCUGUUCACCACCUGCGGCUCAUCCUGCAAUCAACCUCCUCAGUGAAAUACACCGGCUCUUCACCCACUCCUUGCCAGUUCGUCAGUAAACCUUCAGUGAGUUCUUUUCCUGUUUGAAGAAGCUGCCUGCCUGCCUGAAAUUGUUUGCUGGAGGACGCAGCCCACCAAGCCAGAGCUUGUCUCGGAGCCCUCUCACCUGUCUGCCCGCUUGCCACACCUCGGGUUCACCUUUUGUUUACACUACGGACAGUGAGCCGCCCACUUACCUUUCACUUCCAUGGAUGGAGUCACCGCUCCUUGAAACCCGCCAUCGGCCAGAUUAAUAACCUGGUCCAGGAUGUGGCCACCACUGCUGGGCAUGUGAUGUAUCUGGCCACAGUAGGUUCACCACAUUGGGGGGCCCACCAGCCCCCCUGUGGCUGGGGAAAGAAGCUGCCGCUGAAAUGACUGGCUGCAGAGGGAGAGCAGACGGGCCCCUCCCCUCCAACUCAUGUCCAAGCCACUGUGUUCAUAACAUGUUGUGUGCUGCUUGUGACUGUUGCGUCAGCCACCUGGCUGAAGGCUUGGAACAGAGGUUUGGACCCAAAAUACAGAAACAUACCAGGUACUGGUGAAGUUUAUUGGAGCACAGUGACAUUUACAGGAGAUGUGAGCAGUCCAAAAACACAAUGGUUGAAUAAUCCAAGGUGUCCAACAGAAACUAAAUCCACAAAGGCACGAGAAAAGCUGAAGUACAUAGGUAUGGAGAACACUAGGCAUGAACACGUGAAAACAACAAUGAAUUGGCACAGAAUGAAGGGGCAAACCACUUAAAUACAACAGGUGAGGGAGCAACUAAUGUGACACAGGUGAAUCCACUAAAGCAAUCAGACAGCCAACACAGGAAGCCAAGAGAGACAGUGACACAUGAAGCAGACAAAACUACAAACUAAAACAGUCAGUAAAGCUCACAUUAUACACAAGGCAUGAAAUCACAAAAUAAAACAGAACACAGGUGACUUGGGUGCAUUGCUGACAAAACCUACCAAAGCAAGAACAUAGACAGAUACAAGUACACUUAAACGAAUGAACAAAAGAAUAAACUAGACUACAAAACCCCACACAUGAAAGACUAAACAUAGGGAAAAACAGGAACACAAAACCAGAACACAACCUCCCCACCAACCCCUUCCCAGUAGUGUUGAG
Micropterus dolomieu (smallmouth bass) is the source of this 1229-nucleotide long non-coding RNA. RefSeq lists it as uncharacterized. NCBI's taxonomy places the organism in Eukaryota, Metazoa, Chordata, Actinopteri, Centrarchiformes, Centrarchidae. The record is from RefSeq and is a predicted model, not a curated record. The transcript has 3 exons.